CCCUGCUUAACCCUCAGCAGCAGCCUGUGCAGUUGUGGCGGGAGAGGGAGGUUGAGGAAUGCCAAAGGAAUGUUGCUGUGUUACUGGAGAGGCGGACUGACUGACUGACUGACUGAUCACACACUGAACAAUGUCUUUGUGUUCCCCGGCCCGACCUCUAGUCACGCAACGCCGUGUGAGCACACUUUCCGUAACCGCUCAGCCCUGCUCACAGAAGAGCUUGAUCAAGUACCUGCAUCUCUACAGGAUCGCGUGCAGUUCAGGUGCUUGGGACGCACUGGAGCGAAUCCAGGUGUGAGUGUAGGAGGGAAAACGCGGUGUGGACAUAAACAUUGGGUGGAACCGAAACAUCUGGCAGUUUGACUCCCAAGAUUUUUGCUGCGUCUUGGAAAUAAACAUCAACACAGGGAACCAACCCGAAUAAAGGAACAACUGGAAAUUAUAACUGCUUAUAUAACGCMGUUUAAAGUUGCAUAUGUGUCUAUUGCAAGGAAAAAUAUAAAGAGGCUGUAUAAAACAACUAUAAUCUCUCAUGAAUGCAUUUAAAUAUUGUAGCAUAUGCAUAAAAAUUGGUGAUUGGAGCCCAACUGAGAUGCAGUGAUUGUGAAUGAAUUAUUUCCGACAUGAUUGUGACAGUUGGCUUCCCGUUGAUUGACCCUUUUGUGUACAAUUCCCACACUCAUCCAGUCCAUUCUAUGGAAAGGUCUGCUCAUCUCCUUAGCCAAGCCGAGUUUAUGCGUGCUAGUAACUUAAAAUACUCCAAAAAUAACAGCAUGCCUGCAGGCAGCGAUACUUCAAGGUGAUGUAAGACAGCGAGCAGAGCUUUCUGUCAGAGAAGGACCUAUUGGAUGUAGCGUUAGUGUUAUUGCUAAAUUCUGCUAAUUUCAUUGAAGCGAGACCAGGAAUAUACAGAAAAUGCCUACUUACUUGCAUCACCAGGACAAAUGUGCACAUUUUGAAUAGAAUUCUGUGUUUUACUCACCUUGGGGGACACUGUUGGAGUAACACAUUGUUGUGGGCGGGGACAUAUCCCAUCUGCCACUGCCCGAAUUCUUUGGGUUAGCGGCUCUCCACAUGGCUCAGUUAAAGGCGCUACAUGGUCAAUCUGACGUCUGUAUUGGCCAUGCAGCAUUUAUGGUGAUGUGGCCUCGGCAGAAGUAAGAUCAUUCAUACUUUUUGCGCUUCGCCGAGCAGCACAGGGCUGUUGUCAAGGAACUUGUCAAUGAAGUGAGUUUGUGUUUAUGCUGGACCUCCAGCCCUCACCUACCACCACCCAAUAAUUUCAAUGCGGAGCUAUAUGGAGCACUCCACAUUGUUACAUUUUAGAGGCACAAGGUGAUGCGGUACGGAGCUCAAUUUGGCCUCUGCGUCCCUCUGGAGACUCCGCGAUUGCAUCACAAUAUCCAUACGGCGCCUCUGACUACAUUUUCGGAUCAAGCAUAAAUUGGCACUCGUGCUGGCUUUCACCGCGUGAGAAGCGACUCUCUGGAACUGUAGAGAUGCAUGAGAAACCACACUCUCCAAACGGCAGGAGCAUGCUACAGUCGAACAAGGCAUCGCAAGGAACUGACUGGACUUUUAAUCCACACCAACGGAUUUAUACUGUUUAAAUAGAUUUUUAUUAAUUAAGCAGGUUUCGUCGGCAUCUGCUCUUUGGUUCGUUGACUAUUGGAUCUCAUUGGAUAGCAUAUCCCUUGACCUACGGCCAGAUGUGCGUGCUGUGCAUUAUGGAGUUAUAUAUCGAGUUAUGUUCAGCUGUGGAUCGAUUUACGCAUGCUUGAGGUUCAACAUUUAGAUUUUGACAUCGACUUUGGAUCUCUUUACGCAUCAUGCUUAUGGAUAUUCAUAUCCCGCGGACCCAUUGGCGACAGUUGCCCAGGAGUUGGGUUUUAACUAUAAAACGCAUCAGCAUCAAUGACACAGGUGGAUGUCAACACGCGCAUUUUUUACUACUUGCCACAUAACGGCCCAUUGCGUAAUGUAAGAAGAAACUCGAUUUUGGAUUGUAAAAUGCCACCCCUGGAUAAGACGUAGCAAGAACAUAUUUUUGCAGUGGUCUUACAGGUGCGUAACAAAUGCCUUGGCGAGUCAGAAUGCCUGGAGAAAACGAAACAACAGGUAUUUCCAGACGUGAUAUGAAGAAAUGGUGUGAGGACAGGACCCCCAAGCCUCUCCCUCCACUGAAAGCUGAGUGGGACAGAGAGGGUGUGAAGAAAGAUGCCCCCCUCUACCCCUUAGUCCUGAAGAGAGACGAAUUAACCAGUUGAAAGAGAGUGACUCACGCUCUCCUCUCUGCUCAUCCAUCCCAUCUGGUUUGUAUUUCUUUGGAUGUUUCUCCGCCUCCAGCCUCUGGGUAGUACCAGCGCCAAGGCCCAGAUGGCUGCCGACCCAGCCCCACCGCGGAGAGCGUACACUGGGUUGGAAAACGCCUGGGCUUGCCUCUUGGCUGGGGUAUGGAUGGUGGGGUAUGGUUGGGAAGGGAAGGGUGGACUUGGCUGGUGAUGGGACUUGGAUGGACCGCACUCCGGCUCUGACGCAACAUCCAUCGAUCAUCCAUCGCAUUGGUUGGUAGUUGAUACCCUCAGCGCUGAGGGCGAGAGCCCAGUCGUGUUGAGGGGUGUUGCGGCGUGGACAGUCAGAGAGUACGCCACAGACUGGCCAGACGUCUCCUAGAUCAGUAACUGAGACUGGCAUCUCAUGGAACUGGCGAGGGCAUCAGUACCAGACUGGUAAACUGGCAUGAGAAACUAUUUUAGACUCUAAAUACCAUGUCUAAAUGUAAUGGUUUUCAGCUCUAGAAGUCAGCAUGGAGAACCUGAUUGGUGCUGUAUUGUAGUCUGUUUUCAACAGACAAGAGCCAUAUGAUAUCAGGAGCAUGUGAAGCACGAUAUCAGGACGACCAACUUUUAAUGACACACGUGUGUUGUUUUGAAGCUCAAAGGGAGUACACACCUGUGAAGGAAGUAGGGCUUAUGUUUGUUUACGUCCGUAUGCUUUGGAGAAAGGUGAAGUGGUCACAUCCUAUGGCACAUGAUCCUUUCUUUAAGGGAGAGAAGAGAGCGAGAGGGAGGGAGAAAGUCAAGGAGGGGUGCCUGAGGGGCAGUCCUUUGUUUCGUUUUGUUUAUUCCUCCACGUGUCUAAAUAAAAAAGGCCUAGAUGGAACCCUAGUGCCUUGGAGUUCUUUGUUCCCACCGACAACAACUUUGUGACACUUCCCAUGCAGUGUGUGUUUCUAAGGGGGGUGGGGGGUCUUUGUGGGGGAAUCAAGACUUGGGAGCGGGGAUUAGAAAGCACUGGGGGCUGAGCAAGGGGGGUUAAGCUUAGUUUGAUGGCAUUUUUAUUGUGGAGUUUGAUUAGCAUGCCCAACACUACACAGCGGGUUUUCUCACACGCCAGUCAUGGGGAGAAAAAUGACUUCUCUCUAUAGCACUCAUAUCACUCCCGCUCCAUAGCUCUGAAUGGAAUGGCCCAACAAAAGGUGACAUAAUUUGUACCCAGGAUCAUAUUGCCCGAUCAGGGGCCUCCUUGAUGACAUCAUGACCCAGUCGCUUUCAACCCUUCCCUGGGAUGCUGGGUUGGCAUGGAAGCGAGUACUUCACUUGAAUUAGUCAUAGUUUGAUGGCCUGUAAAGUUUGAUAUGGCUGUGUUUGCGAUAAACAAGUUUGAGGGUGAGUGACAGGUAAGAUGCAAUAUUUGGGUAUGGCAGGUGUACAUUACACAUACAGUAUCAGUCAAAAGUUUGAGCACACCUACUCAUUCAAGGGUUUUUCAUUAUUUU
This is a long non-coding RNA of Salvelinus sp. IW2-2015, 3778 nucleotides long. RefSeq lists it as uncharacterized. The record is from RefSeq and is a predicted model, not a curated record. NCBI's taxonomy places the organism in Eukaryota, Metazoa, Chordata, Actinopteri, Salmoniformes, Salmonidae.